AAUACAUGCAAGUCGAACGAAGUAGCAAUACUUAGUGGCAGACGGGUGAGUAACAUGUGGGUAUCUUCCCUUUGGUGAGGAAUAACACGAGGAAACUUGUGCUAAUACCUCAUAAGUCUUUACGGAGAAAGCUUUAUGCGCCAUUGGAUGAGCCUGCACUUGAUUAGUUUGUUGGUGGGGUAAUGGCCUACCAAGACUUUGAUCAAUAGCUGAUUUGAGAGGAUGAUCAGCCACAUUGGGACUGAGACACGGCCCAAACUCCUACGGGAGGCAGCAGUAGGGAAUCUUGCACAAUGGAGGAAACUCUGAUGCAGCGAUGCCGCGUGAGUGAAGAAGGCCCUUGGGUUGUAAAGCUCUUUCGUCGGGGAAGAAAAUGACUGUACCCGAAUAAGAAGGUCCGGCUAACUUCGUGCCAGCAGCCGCGGUAAUACGAAGGGACCUAGCGUAGUUCGGAAUUACUGGGCUUAAAGAGUUCGUAGGUGGUUAAAAAAGUUGGUGGUGAAAUCCCAGAGCUUAACUCUGGAACUGCCAUCAAAACUUUUUAGCUAGAGUAUGAUAGAGGAAAGCAGAAUUUCUAGUGUAGAGGUGAAAUUCGUAGAUAUUAGAAAGAAUACCGAUUGCGAAGGCAGCUUUCUGGAUCAUUACUGACACUGAGGAACGAAAGCAUGGGUAGCGAAGAGGAUUAGAUACCCUCGUAGUCCAUGCCGUAAACGAUGUGUGUUAGACGUUGGAAAUUUAUUUUCAGUGUCGCAGCGAAAGCAAUAAACACACCGCCUGGGGAGUACGACC
This 789-nucleotide ribosomal RNA is filed under the name uncultured Pelagibacteraceae bacterium. RNAcentral describes it as "bacterial SSU rRNA". It matches the Rfam family "Bacterial small subunit ribosomal RNA", at positions 50 to 887 of the family's 1533-position model. The record is from RNAcentral. Lineage: Bacteria; Pseudomonadati; Pseudomonadota; Alphaproteobacteria; Candidatus Pelagibacterales; Candidatus Pelagibacteraceae.